AUGGUGUCACACAGCUGCGGGCUCACGGCACAACGGGUCCCCACGAGGCGUCCCCACACGUGGGAGCAUCUCUGCUCCCCACGCAGAGCGCAAGCACUCGGGAGGUGCAAAGCGUGCCGUGCCACGGGGCUGCCGUGCCCGCAGUGCCAUCCCAAAGGUGGUGAGUGGGCACACGGUGCUGCUUUGGGGUCAGCUCUGCCCCACUCCUGGCACGUCGCUGCUGCUCCCUCAGUUCAGUGUGCACCCAGGGGAUGCGGCCCCUUUGUGGGGUCCCACGGGAGCCCGUUGCCCCACAGCGUUGCCUGGUACUGGGUGAGUAUGCGGGAUGCAGCCAGAGCCCAUCAGCACGGCCUCAGCACCCAAAGGUUUGGUUCUGUGGCAUCUGGAGGCGUCGGAGCUGCACGGGGAUGGAGCAGAGGCCGUGGUGGCAGAGCAGCCCUGUGCCAUCAUCCCCAUGCCACCAUCAUCUCUGUGCCACCACCAUCCCCGUGCCACCACCAUCUCCGUGCCACCUGCCUGCAGUGGUGCCAAGGACCGCAUCCCCGCUGCCAUGGGGUGCCAAGGGGUGGGAAGGGGCCUCCACGGCACCCACGGGUGCUGCAGAGCUCCGUGCAGCCCCGACCUGCGCUCCUCCCCGGUGCUGAGGACGGCGUCCGAGCCCUCCCGGAGCUCCGCACCAUCAGCGCGGGGGAGGGACGGAGGGGGGACACAUACAAACAUGCGGGGCUGGGGUCGGGAUGGGGGGCGGAGAGAGACGGGAUGGGGCAGAAUGGAGGGGCGGGAUGGGGGCAGGAUGGGGGCAGGGCAGGAGGUCCCGGUGCCCGCCCGCUCCCCGCCGUCCCUGCCUUUGCCCGGGGCACCCCCCCCCCCCCCCCCCCGCCGCCCCCGGCCCCGCUCCCCCCCGCGCGGUCGCAUUGCGGUGCCGCCGCCUCACCGUGCGCUGCCCGGGAUCCGCCCUUGGCUGCGGGCUGCACCGCGGCGUCAGCGCAUGGCCCGGCCCGGCGCUGUGCGGUUCCGAUGCGGCGGCCGCUGUCCGUCCGCUUCGAUUCGGCUUUCGGUUCGGCGCGACGGGGCCGGCGCGGUUUUACCCGGUGGCGGUGCGGUGAUGCGGGGCCGGCGCGGCUCUGCGGGGCUCAGCUCGGCACGGCACGGCGCGGUGCGGUGCGGCCGCCGCAGAGCCGAUCCCGCCCCGCCGCCGGCCCCGCCCGCCGCGCCCGCCCCACCCGGGGCUGCCGGACCCCCCGGUACAGCCCUGAACGGCGGCGGAACGGGAGGAGACGGACGGACGGACAGGGGUGGGACAAACGGACGGGGAUGGGACACGCGUGA
This 1329-nucleotide long non-coding RNA is filed under the name Phasianus colchicus (ring-necked pheasant). Its description in RNAcentral is "lncRNA (ENSPCLG00000012474.1)". The record is from RNAcentral. Lineage: Eukaryota; Metazoa; Chordata; Aves; Galliformes; Phasianidae.